This 305-nucleotide ribosomal RNA is filed under the name uncultured bacterium. RNAcentral's name for it is "bacterial SSU rRNA". It matches the Rfam family "Bacterial small subunit ribosomal RNA", at positions 334 to 637 of the family's 1533-position model. The record is from RNAcentral.
AUAUCCUACGGGAGGCAGCAGUAGGGAAUUUUCGUCAAUGGGCGCAAGCCUGAACGAGCAAUGCCGCGUGAACGAGGAAGGUACAGAGUAUCGUAAACCUCUUUUGUCAGGGAACAAAGACUGGGACGCGUCCCCGGAUGAGUGUACCUGAAGAAAAAGCAUCGGCUAACUCCGUGCCAGCAGCCGCGGUAAUACGGAGGAUGCGAGCGUUAUCCGGAUUUAUUGGGUUUAAAGGGUGCGCAGGCGGUCUGUUAAGUCAGCGGUCAAAGCCCGGGGCUCAACCCCGGCCCGCCGUUGCAACUGGC